AUUGAACGCUGGCGGCAGGCCUAACACAUGCAAGUCGAGCGAGCGUCGCACGGGUGAGUAAUGUAUGGGGAAUGCCCCAUAUCGGGGGAUAACUCCAGGAGAAGGUAUCUCAUACCGCGUACUAUCGGCUUACCCAUAUGGGAUUAGCUAGUGGGUGGGGUAAGGGCUCACCUAGACGACGAUCCCUAGCUGGUCUGAGAGGAUGAUCAGCAACACUGGGACUGAGACACGGCCCAGACUCCUACGGAGGAAGCAGUGGGGAAUAUUGCACAAUGGGCGCAAGCCUGAUGCAGCCAUGCCGCGGGUAUGAAGAAGGCCCUAGGGUUGUAAAGUACUUUCAGGCGGGAGGCGUUACCGGCAGAAGAAGCACCGGCUAACUCCGUGCCAGCAGCCGCGGUAAUUC
Molecule: ribosomal RNA, 403 nt
Filed under: uncultured bacterium
Lineage: Bacteria
Description: partial 16S ribosomal RNA
Rfam family: Bacterial small subunit ribosomal RNA
Source: RNAcentral